GAUGAACGCUAGCGGCAGGCCUAACACAUGCAAGUCGAGGGGCAGCACGAUAAAGCUUGCUUUAUUGGUGGCGACCGGCGCACGGGUGCGUAACGCGUAUGCAACCUACCUUGUACUGGGGGAUAGCCCGGAGAAAUUCGGAUUAACCCCCCAUAGUAUUAUUAGAUCGCAUGGUUUGAUAAUUAAAGGUUACGGUACAAGAUGGGCAUGCGUCCCAUUAGCUAGAUGGUGAGGUAACGGCUCACCAUGGCGACGAUGGGUAGGGGCCUGAGAGGGUGGUCCCCCACACUGGUACUGAGACACGGACCAGACUCCUACGGGAGGCAGCAGUGAGGAAUAUUGGUCAAUGGGCGCAAGCCUGAACCAGCCAUGCCGCGUGCAGGAAGACGGUCCUAUGGAUUGUAAACUGCUUUUAUUGGGAAUAAACCUCUUUACGUGUAGAGAGCUGAAGGUACCAAAUGAAUAAGCACCGGCUAAACUCCGUGCCAGCAGCCGCGGUAAU
RNAcentral lists this ribosomal RNA (502 nucleotides) under uncultured bacterium. Its description in RNAcentral is "bacterial SSU rRNA". It matches the Rfam family "Bacterial small subunit ribosomal RNA", at positions 28 to 524 of the family's 1533-position model. The record is from RNAcentral.